RNAcentral lists this long non-coding RNA (1578 nucleotides) under Trifolium pratense (red clover). Its description in RNAcentral is "long non-coding RNA (TPRA_LNC011528)". The record is from RNAcentral. Lineage: Eukaryota; Viridiplantae; Streptophyta; Magnoliopsida; Fabales; Fabaceae.
UGCUAAAAUGAGAUAUAUUAACACAAGCAGCCUCCCCAGCACAAGAAGUACCAAGGUAGACUACAAAAGUUUACAAAUAGUCAAAUAAUCAAAACCAGAAAACCAAUCAUACAAGGCCAAAACAAAGUAAAUGACUAGACCACCAGCUAUGGUAGUUUGAAGCUAACGUAAUAUUCGUCGUCUUCAACCACCUAAAAGAGAAAAGCUUGAUCUUGUCCAACAACAGAUGAUACGUGUCAGUUGAGGCUUUGAACAAUCGAUGAUUUCUCUCCGUCCAAACCACCCAAACGCAAGCAAGCCAAAUGAGCUGUAAAAAAGAUCGACGCGCUCAAGAUCCGCCUGCUGAAGAUGUAAACUGGACAAUAUUUUACAAUCAGUAUCUGGCUCAUUAUACCGUUUAAUCUGAUUUUGAGGUCAGUUGUGACAUCAAGUGGUUUCAGUUCCCCCCCAAUUGCAGUUGUUGGCGAUUAAACCGUAAUUCUGCCCAAGUUCAGCGUCAAUUACCACUAAACCAGAAAUAUUAGUUUAUAGUAAAAAUAUUCUAUCGGAGACAAACAUUAAAUAUAGAUAUAUUCUAUUUAAAUUUUGAAUGUUGGUUUAUUACCUUGCAAAAGUCUAGCAACUUUGUGGGAACUAUAACAUCUAUUAAUUUUACUUUUAUUUUAUUUUUUAGUAUACAAUAAAGUAGAGGAUCGAAUCCAUAAUCUCUAGCAUACUAUUGAAAUUUAUAAUCACUAUAUUAAACUUAUUGACUUUUACUUCUCCUUUAUCUAAUGCUAAUAGGAUUUUUGAACUCUCAAUAAAACCCAACUUAUAAGACUAAUAUUUAGUUGAAGGCUUUUUCUAAUGAACAAGUGUGCUAAGUCUUGUAUGGUGCAAAAACUCCAUUUUACCGUUGGAUUAAAAGAUCCAUUAAAUGUUAUUGUGUAUUAUAUCCAUACUAAAUCAUUUCUCAUCUCACUCUCAUCAUUUCAUUCUUUCACAUAUCUCUUCUGUCUACAACCACCGCACCGUGGCAACGGCAGCACAAAUCUUCCCCAAACUAACAACCCCUUUCUCAAAAUUCUCAUCACUUCUUUCACCCUAACAAUCUCCCUCAGCAUCACGUCAACUUUCAAACCCAUCUCCAUUGUAUUCGCCGCCGUGACCCAAACCCAAUACUCCUAUCCGGUCUUGCGCCACCCUCCCUGAAAACUUCCUCGGCCGUGCCCAAUCGGAACGAGUCACAAGUAGAGGUAAUUCAAUCAUUAGAGGAAAUUAAUCAUUACUAAAGUGGACACCAUUGUUGAACAAAAAAUUAAGAAAAUAACUUAGAGCGGACAGUAAGAACCAGAUCUGAGAUUGAUGACAAAAAAUUAUCUGAUUGGGAUCAAAUCUAAAAUUGCAAUAGUAAAGGAAAUCAAAUCUAAUUUUCAUAUCUGAAUCGCGCGUGAAAGAUGGAGGAUGGCGGUGGUUGUGGGUGGUGACGACGGUGGAGGUGUGGUUGUGCUGGCAGCAUUAGAUAAACUUUUCACUGUUAUGGGCGGGUGGUUGGUACUGUUAUGUUACGACUUACCAAGUGCAAUGGGUCUGUUGAAA